UCCCUGGUGGUCUAAUGGCUAAGACGCCACACUCCCAACGUAGGGACCCCGGGUUCGAUCCCUGGUUGGGGAU
RNAcentral lists this transfer RNA (73 nucleotides) under Ovis aries (sheep). It matches the Rfam family "tRNA". Rfam says of the family: Transfer RNA (tRNA) molecules are approximately 80 nucleotides in length. The record is from Rfam by way of RNAcentral. Lineage: Eukaryota; Metazoa; Chordata; Mammalia; Artiodactyla; Bovidae.